CAGCUGUGCGCCUUCGGGCUUGCACGUUGGAUGUGGCAUACUCACAACACACCUGUGCACCUUUCAGAUGUCUAGGGCUGAAAAGCCCUGGCGUUUGCCCUUUACACAAAACACAGUCUUUGAAUGUCAUAUAAACUUAACAAAUACAACUUUCAACAACGGAUCUCUUGGCUCUCGCAUCGAUGAAGAACGCAGCGAAAUGCNAUAAGUAAUGUGAAUUGCAGAAUUCAGUGAAUCAUCNAAUCUUUGAACGCACCUUGCGCCCCAUGGUAUUCCAUGGAGCAUGCCUGUUUGAGUGUCACGUGAAACUAUCACUCUUGUCCUGUCGCAAGACAUGUCAGGAUGUGGACUUGGACUGUGCCGUAGUUGGCUCGUCUUGAAAUGCAUUAGCCGUGCUGGUUAGAUUCGGCCACCUGGUGUGAUAUACGUCUACGCCUACCGUGCUGUCUCUUCCUGAGCGUGGCUCAUAAUCGUCGCUCGUUCGACAACACAAAUUAACGCUCUGGCCUCAAAUCAGGUAGGACUACCCGCUGAACUUAAGCAUAUCAAUAAGCGGAGGAAAAGAAACUAACAAGGAUUCCCCUAGUAACGGCGAGUGAAGCGGGAAAAGCUCAAAUUUAAAAUCUGGCGGUCUAAGGCCGUCCGAGUUGUAGUUUA
RNAcentral lists this ribosomal RNA (657 nucleotides) under uncultured fungus. RNAcentral's name for it is "eukaryotic LSU rRNA". The stretch from base 148 to 301 matches the Rfam family "5.8S ribosomal RNA". The record is from RNAcentral. Lineage: Eukaryota; Fungi.